This 460-nucleotide ribosomal RNA is filed under the name uncultured bacterium. RNAcentral's name for it is "partial 16S ribosomal RNA". It matches the Rfam family "Bacterial small subunit ribosomal RNA", at positions 338 to 795 of the family's 1533-position model. The record is from RNAcentral.
CCUACGGGAGGCAGCAGUGAGGAAUAUUGGUCAAUGGGCGCGAGCCUGAACCAGCCAAGUAGCGUGAAGGAUGACUGCCCUACGGGUUGUAAACUUCUUUUAUAAAGGAAUACAGUGAGGCACGUGUGCCUUUUUGUCUGUACUUUAUGAAUAAGGAUCGGCUAACUCCGUGCCAGCAGCCGCGGUAAUACGGAGGAUUCGAGCGUUAUCCGGAUUUAUUGGGUUUAAAGGGAGCCUAGAUGGGUUGUUAAGGCAGGUGUGAAAGUUUGCGGCUCAACCGUAAAAUUGCAAUUGAUACUGGCAGCCUUGAGUACAGUUGAGGUAGGCGGAAUUCGUGGUGUAGCGGUGAAAUGCUUAGAUAUCACGAAGAACUCCGAUUGCGAAGGCAGCUUACUAAACUGCCACUGACAUUGAUGCUCGAAAGUGUGGGUAUCAAACAGGAUUAGAUACCCGUGUAGUC